GGCCCCGUGGUCUAGUGGUAAUGAUGCCGGCUUUUCAAGCCGAGCGACGCCGGUUCGAAUCCGGUCGGGGCUA
RNAcentral lists this transfer RNA (73 nucleotides) under Actinomycetota bacterium. RNAcentral describes it as "tRNA-Glu". It matches the Rfam family "tRNA". Rfam says of the family: Transfer RNA (tRNA) molecules are approximately 80 nucleotides in length. Their secondary structure includes four short double-helical elements and three loops (D, anti-codon, and T loops). Further hydrogen bonds mediate the characteristic L-shaped molecular structure. tRNAs have two regions of fundamental functional importance: the anti-codon, which is responsible for specific mRNA codon recognition, and the 3' end, to which the tRNAs corresponding amino acid is attached (by aminoacyl-tRNA synthetases). tRNAs cope with the degeneracy of the genetic code in two manners: having more than one tRNA (with a specific anti-codon) for a particular amino acid; and 'wobble' base-pairing, i.e. permitting non-standard base-pairing at the 3rd anti-codon position. The record is from RNAcentral. Lineage: Bacteria; Bacillati; Actinomycetota.